RNAcentral lists this long non-coding RNA (508 nucleotides) under Equus caballus (horse). Its description in RNAcentral is "lncRNA (ENSECAG00000047567.1)". The record is from RNAcentral. Lineage: Eukaryota; Metazoa; Chordata; Mammalia; Perissodactyla; Equidae.
GUUGCAUUUGUUAAAAAUGCAGACUUCCAGCCACACCUCAGACCCACUGAAUCAGGGUUGGGCUGGGGAAAUCUGCAUUUUAAAUUAGCUCUCCACGGAACUUCUUAGGCCAACUAAAUACAACCAACGCUUUAAAGGAAAUGACCCACUUACAGAAAGACACACUGUGGAGGAGCAGCUGGACGAACUGGAAUGUGGUUGUGAUGGCUCGAGCAGUUCAGCUGGCACAUGAGGUGAUCUUGGGAAUAGAAACUACAACAGCCCUGGACCACCUCAGCUCCAGACCUUCACGUGAGAGAGAAACAAAAGACUACCUUGUUUAAGCCAUUGUUAUUUGGGGUCUUUUACUCCUAGCCAAAGUUAUUUCUAACUGAUACAGGAAGCUAAUGGUCAGUCCACUUUUUAAUGUGUUUGUUUAAGGUUGUUCUCAAUUUCUUAAAUUGGAUAGAUCGACAUGUCAGAGAAUUGAUUUAGGCGCCAGAACUAAUUAUCUUUGUACAAAUGGAAG